This 341-nucleotide long non-coding RNA is filed under the name Salvia miltiorrhiza (redroot sage). RNAcentral's name for it is "long non-coding RNA (SMIL_LNC008708)". Lineage: Eukaryota; Viridiplantae; Streptophyta; Magnoliopsida; Lamiales; Lamiaceae. The record is from RNAcentral.
UGCAGGUCAUAUGCUCACUUUGUCACACUGAACAUGAGGUUGGUUGGUUUUACUCAUUUUACUCUAUAUAUACUCAUGCAUCUUCAUGAACAAGAAUUUGGAAACCUCCACACUACCUGCAAUGAAGCAUGGCUGCUAGAAGUCUCCAACUGUUGUGUCUCAGUUAAGCUGAAUAUAGUUAUUAAUGUCAAACAUGUAUAUAUAUAGAAGUUCAAAACAUAAUACUAGAAAAUGGGGAAGGGAAGUUCAAAUAUGUCUUGGCCUGCUAACCAUUUCUCUAUCUUGCGAGCUGUCCAAAGUUUUUAAGCACUACAAUUUAAACUUACAACAGGAAGUUUACU